GACGAACGCUGGCGGCGUGCUUAACACAUGCAAGUCGAACGGAAAGGCCCUGCUUGCAGGGUACUCGAGUGGCGAACGGGUGAGUAACACGUGGGUGAUCUGCCCUGCACUUCGGGAUAAGCCUGGGAAACUGGGUCUAAUACCGGAUAGGAGCCAUUUUUAGUGUGAUGGUUGGAAAGUUUUUUCGGUGUAGGAUGAGCUCGCGGCCUAUCAGCUUGUUGGUGGGGUAAUGGCCUACCAAGGCGGCGACGGGUAGCCGGCCUGAGAGGGUGGACGGCCACAUUGGGACUGAGAUACGGCCCAGACUCCUACGGGAGGCAGCAGUGGGGAAUAUUGCACAAUGGGCGGAAGCCUGAUGCAGCGACGCCGCGUGGGGGAUGACGGCCUUCGGGUUGUAAACUCCUUUCGCUAGGGACGAAGCUUUUGUGACGGUACCUAGAUAAGAAGCACCGGCUAACUACGUG
Molecule: ribosomal RNA, 464 nt
Filed under: uncultured bacterium
Lineage: Bacteria
Description: partial 16S ribosomal RNA
Rfam family: Bacterial small subunit ribosomal RNA
Source: RNAcentral